RNAcentral lists this ribosomal RNA (520 nucleotides) under uncultured Glomus. RNAcentral's name for it is "SSU rRNA". It matches the Rfam family "Eukaryotic small subunit ribosomal RNA", at positions 569 to 1091 of the family's 1831-position model. Lineage: Eukaryota; Fungi; Glomeromycota; Glomeromycetes; Glomerales; Glomeraceae. The record is from RNAcentral.
AGCAGCCGCGGUAAUUCCAGCUCCAAUAGCGUAUAUUAAAGUUGUUGCAGUUAAAAAGCUCGUAGUUGAAUUUCGGGGUUAGUAGGUUGGUCAUGCCUCUGGUAUGUACUGGUCUCACUGAUUCCUCCUUCCUGAUGAGCCGUAAUGCCAUUAAUUUGGUGUUGCGGGGAAUUUGGACUGUUACUUUGAAAAAAUUAGAGUGUUUAAAGCAAGCUAACGCUUGAAUACAUUAGCAUGGAAUAAUGAAAUAGGACGUUCGAUCCUAUUUUGUUGGUUUCUAGGAUUGACGUAAUGAUUAAUAGGGAUAGUUGGGGGCAUUAGUAUUCAAUUGUCAGAGGUGAAAUUCUUGGAUUUAUUGAAGACUAACUACUGCGAAAGCAUUUGCCAAGGAUGUUUUCAUUAAUCAAGACGAAAGUUAGGGGGUCGAAGGACGAUCAGAUACCGUCGUAGUCUUAACCAUAAACUAUGCCGACUAGGGAUCGGAUGAUGUUAAUUUUUAAUGACUCAUUCGGCGCCUUAA